This 1556-nucleotide ribosomal RNA is filed under the name Escherichia coli. Its description in RNAcentral is "bacterial SSU rRNA". It matches the Rfam family "Bacterial small subunit ribosomal RNA". Lineage: Bacteria; Pseudomonadati; Pseudomonadota; Gammaproteobacteria; Enterobacterales; Enterobacteriaceae. The record is from RNAcentral.
UUAAAUUGAAGAGUUUGAUCAUGGCUCAGAUUGAACGCUGGCGGCAGGCCUAACACAUGCAAGUCGAACGGUAACAGGAAACAGCUUGCUGUUUCGCUGACGAGUGGCGGACGGGUGAGUAAUGUCUGGGAAACUGCCUGAUGGAGGGGGAUAACUACUGGAAACGGUAGCUAAUACCGCAUAAUGUCGCAAGACCAAAGAGGGGGACCUUCGGGCCUCUUGCCAUCGGAUGUGCCCAGAUGGGAUUAGCUGGUAGGUGGGGUAACGGCUCACCUAGGCGACGAUCCCUAGCUGGUCUGAGAGGAUGACCAGCCACACUGGAACUGAGACACGGUCCAGACUCCUACGGGAGGCAGCAGUGGGGAAUAUUGCACAAUGGGCGCAAGCCUGAUGCAGCCAUGCCGCGUGUAUGAAGAAGGCCUUCGGGUUGUAAAGUACUUUCAGCGGGGAGGAAGGGAGUAAAGUUAAUACCUUUGCUCAUUGACGUUACCCGCAGAAGAAGCACCGGCUAACUCCGUGCCAGCAGCCGCGGUAAUACGGAGGGUGCAAGCGUUAAUCGGAAUUACUGGGCGUAAAGCGCACGCAGGCGGUUUGUUAAGUCAGAUGUGAAAUCCCCGGGCUCAACCUGGGAACUGCAUCUGAUACUGGCAAGCUUGAGUCUCGUAGAGGGGGGUAGAAUUCCAGGUGUAGCGGUGAAAUGCGUAGAGAUCUGGAGGAAUACCGGUGGCGAAGGCGGCCCCCUGGACGAAGACUGACGCUCAGGUGCGAAAGCGUGGGGAGCAAACAGGAUUAGAUACCCUGGUAGUCCACGCCGUAAACGAUGUCGACUUGGAGGUUGUGCCCUUGAGGCGUGGCUUCCGGAGCUAACGCGUUAAGUCGACCGCCUGGGGAGUACGGCCGCAAGGUUAAAACUCAAAUGAAUUGACGGGGGCCCGCACAAGCGGUGGAGCAUGUGGUUUAAUUCGAUGCAACGCGAAGAACCUUACCUGGUCUUGACAUCCACGGAAGUUUUCAGAGAUGAGAAUGUGCCUUCGGGAACCGUGAGACAGGUGCUGCAUGGCUGUCGUCAGCUCGUGUUGUGAAAUGUUGGGUUAAGUCCCGCAACGAGCGCAACCCUUAUCCUUUGUUGCCAGCGGUCCGGCCGGGAACUCAAAGGAGACUGCCAGUGAUAAACUGGAGGAAGGUGGGGAUGACGUCAAGUCAUCAUGGCCCUUACGACCAGGGCUACACACGUGCUACAAUGGCGCAUACAAAGAGAAGCGACCUCGCGAGAGCAAGCGGACCUCAUAAAGUGCGUCGUAGUCCGGAUUGGAGUCUGCAACUCGACUCCAUGAAGUCGGAAUCGCUAGUAAUCGUGGAUCAGAAUGCCACGGUGAAUACGUUCCCGGGCCUUGUACACACCGCCCGUCACACCAUGGGAGUGGGUUGCAAAAGAAGUAGGUAGCUUAACCUUCGGGAGGGCGCUUACCACUUUGUGAUUCAUGACUGGGGUGAAGUCGUAACAAGGUAACCGUAGGGGAACCUGCGGUUGGAUCACCUCCUUACCUUAAAGAAGC